Molecule: long non-coding RNA, 896 nt
Filed under: Nicotiana tabacum (common tobacco)
Lineage: Eukaryota; Viridiplantae; Streptophyta; Magnoliopsida; Solanales; Solanaceae
Description: long non-coding RNA (NTAB_LNC001122)
Source: RNAcentral
CGCCUGGAAAGCAGGGAGCACUUUCAAGUUGAAGUCAGGAGCCCGCCUGGAAAGCAGAGAAUACAUUUCAAGUUAGCAGUCAGGGAGCCCCGCCUGGAGAAUAGGGUCAGUUUUUACUUUAGCCAAGCUUAGUUUACAGUUUUCCUAGUCUAUUCUUUAGUUUAAUUUCAUCAUUGCAUCAAUAAUACAGGUGGUUUACAAUUUUGCUAACAACUCACAAAUCUUCCUAGUGCAAACUGGGGCAGAAAAAUUUCUUUAUUUUGGUUAUUUUGUUGUAAUCAGGCGCCCACCUGGAGAACAAGGGAAAACAACUCAAGUUUCUAGGGAAAGCAGUUUCGAAGGAAGACAGUUCGAGUUUCAGGGAAAAUGGUUCAAAGUGCAAGGGAAAACAGUGUCAAGUAACAAGAGAAGACGGUUCAAGUUCAGCAAUUAGGCGCCCACCUGGAAAAAAAAGGGAAUUCAAUUCAGAAUGCAAUUCAGAAGUUGAUGAAGGAUGUGAGAUGCUCAAGACAUGGCCGAGGUCACAAGCACUACAUGUCCGGUCCUGACCCAAAAGCUGUAGAAGAACGAGCUAGCACCUGCAGCUAACAAGUGUCAAGGUUCAAAUCUAAAGUCUGCAUGAAGAACCAUUCAAAACUCAAGAUCAAGCUUCAGAAGACUUAUAGAUAGGAAUCUUGUAACUCGUAGUCGAUAGGCUUAGCUAGUCUUUUUCAUCUUUUGAUUUUCGAUGUAAUAACAGAGACCGCAGACCGGAACCUCGACGGAACGGCACCUCGACCGGAUCUCCACCUCGGCAUACUCUGUCAUCUCACUCAUCUCUAAACUACACGUGGCCUUAUUCCUUUAUAGCCAAGGAUAUGUAGGCAGCUCAAAUGCCAGAGCUCGGUCACAUCCCC